Molecule: transfer RNA, 77 nt
Filed under: Azorhizobium caulinodans
Lineage: Bacteria; Pseudomonadati; Pseudomonadota; Alphaproteobacteria; Hyphomicrobiales; Xanthobacteraceae
Also listed under: 1874 other names
Description: tRNA-Met
Rfam family: tRNA
About the family: Transfer RNA (tRNA) molecules are approximately 80 nucleotides in length. Their secondary structure includes four short double-helical elements and three loops (D, anti-codon, and T loops).
Source: RNAcentral
CGCGGGGUGGAGCAGCCCGGUAGCUCGUCAGGCUCAUAACCUGAAGGUCACAGGUUCAAAUCCUGUCCCCGCAACCA